This 228-nucleotide ribosomal RNA is filed under the name Triticum aestivum (bread wheat). RNAcentral describes it as "partial small subunit ribosomal RNA". Lineage: Eukaryota; Viridiplantae; Streptophyta; Magnoliopsida; Poales; Poaceae. The record is from RNAcentral.
CUAAAUUGCUUGUCAUGGAAUUGUCGCGGAGGGGGAACGAUUACUAUUCGUGAUCUGGAAGGCCUGAUAAAGGCUAAUGAUUCCCGGAUUGUUUUCCUCUAUGAGACGCGGCAAAGAGAAGAAAGGAUGCGACGGCACUGUCGAAGGUUAGGCCUACGUGGCUUUACCGGAGUAAGUAGCAAUGGAAAUAGUGGAGGACUUGCACUAUACUGGGAUGACAGUUUGUUC